GAAAGAGGCAUAAAGCAAUAAGGACUGCUAACCCUUACCUCCACGGUUAAACUCCGUGGCUCAUUCA
Molecule: transfer RNA, 67 nt
Filed under: Pseudopimelodus schultzi
Lineage: Eukaryota; Metazoa; Chordata; Actinopteri; Siluriformes; Pseudopimelodidae
Description: tRNA-Ser
Source: RNAcentral